AUUGAACGCUGGCGGCAUGCCUUACACAUGCAAGUCGAACGGCAGCACGGACUUCGGUCUGGUGGCGAGUGGCGAACGGGUGAGUAAUGCAUCGGAACGUGCCAUUGAGUGGGGGAUAACGUAGCGAAAGUUGCGCUAAUACCGCAUAUUCUGUGAGCAGGAAAGCAGGGGACCGCAAGGCCUUGCGCUCUUUGAGCGGCCGAUGUCAGAUUAGCUAGUUGGUGAGGUAAAGGCUUACCAAGGCGACGAUCUGUAGCGGGUCUGAGAGGAUGAUCCGCCACACUGGAACUGAGACACGGUCCAGACUCCUACGGGAGGCAGCAGUGGGGAAUUUUGGACAAUGGGGGCAACCCUGAUCCAGCCAUGCCGCGUGAGUGAAGAAGGCCUCGGUUGUAAG
RNAcentral lists this ribosomal RNA (397 nucleotides) under uncultured bacterium. RNAcentral's name for it is "bacterial SSU rRNA". It matches the Rfam family "Bacterial small subunit ribosomal RNA", at positions 30 to 429 of the family's 1533-position model. The record is from RNAcentral.